GACGAACGCUGGCGGCGUGCCUAAUACAUGCAAGUUGAGCGCUGAAGGUUGGUACUUGUACCAACUGGAUGAGCAGCGAACGGGUGAGUAACGCGUGGGGAAUCUGCCUUUGAGCGGGGGACAACAUUUGGAAACGAAUGCUAAUACCGCAUAAAACCUUUAAACACAAGUUUUAAGUUUGAAAGAUGCAAUUGCAUCACUCAAAGAUGAUCCCGCGUUGUAUUAGCUAGUUGGUGAGGUAAAGGCUCACCAAGGCGAUGAUACAUAGCCGACCUGAGAGGGUGAUCGGCCACAUUGGGAUUGAGACACGGCCCAAACUCCUACGGGAGGCAGCAGUAGGGAAUCUUCGGCAAUGGACGAAAGUCUGACCGAGCAACGCCGCGUGAGUGAAGAAGGUUUUCGGAUCGUAAAACUCUGUUGGUAGAGAAGAACGUUGGUGAGAGUGGAAAGCUCAUCAAGUGACGGUAACUACCCAGAAAGGGACGGCUAACUACGUG
This 497-nucleotide ribosomal RNA is filed under the name uncultured bacterium. RNAcentral's name for it is "partial 16S ribosomal RNA". It matches the Rfam family "Bacterial small subunit ribosomal RNA", at positions 28 to 507 of the family's 1533-position model. The record is from RNAcentral.